CAACUCUUAGCGGUGGAUCACUCGGCUCGUGCGUCGAUGAAGAACGCAGCAAAGACU
Molecule: ribosomal RNA, 57 nt
Filed under: Lutjanus fulviflamma (dory snapper)
Lineage: Eukaryota; Metazoa; Chordata; Actinopteri; Lutjaniformes; Lutjanidae
Description: partial 5.8S ribosomal RNA
Rfam family: 5.8S ribosomal RNA
About the family: 5.8S ribosomal RNA (5.8S rRNA) is a component of the large subunit of the eukaryotic ribosome. It is transcribed by RNA polymerase I as part of the 45S precursor that also contains 18S and 28S rRNA.
Source: RNAcentral